AGCUGAUAGCCUAUGUGGGUCACACAUCUGUUGCACACCUCCCAGGUACUAAUCCAUUGUAAACACAUAUGCGAUUGUAUAAUAAGUUUUGCGAUGGUAAUUUCACUACUGAACCCUCAAGUAUUAAACCCUACUCUCUUUCUCUCUCAUUUCUGUCUAUCUACUCUAAAACGAAAGCAAAAGACAAAAGAAAAAAACAUAGAAAAAUAAAAUAGAAAGGCUUGCACACUCAACUUACCUUGCUCGAACGAUUCACACCCAAGUGCUCGAUUUCCCCACUCAUCUGUCUUUAUUUUAUAACACGUUAUCAGCACGAGACUCUGCCAUCUCGAGCAAAUACUUUGAAAGCAUCAGAGGCACGUUAUGAUUGGACUUAUCUAAGGCUACAAGAAUUUUAAAUCUAUCACAGCAAUAUCGAGAGAUGGGAUUCAAUAAAUAUUCUGGACUUAUCUCACAUCUUCUUAUAGCCGAGAAACAUAAUGGGCUAUUAAUGUAAAACCAUGAAAGCCGACCUACUGGUUCUUAUCCAUUCCCUGAAGUGAAUGAGACGAUCUUCCACCAAGCUACGCGUGAACGAGGUCGUGUCUCCAGUCGUGGUCAUGGCCGUGGUUGGGGAAGAAACUCUAAUCAUGGUAAUAAUAAUGCACCAAAGAACCCUCGUCACCACCAGCAGUGAAAAGGGAAGGAAUAAAAGCAUGAAGCGGUGCAAGCAACAAAUGCAGAAAAUGCAUGCUAUAGAUGUGGAGGAAAAGGGCACUGGUCAUGUACCUGUCGUACGCCAAAGCACUUGGUUGAGCUUUAUCAAGCCUCUCUGAAGAAGACAGAGAAAAAUGCUGAAGCAAAUUUUAUUUCUGAAGAUAAUUUGGACUUCAUGCAUUUGGAUGUAGCUAAUUACUUUGCACUCCCAGAAUAAGAAACAAGUCAUGUGAGCGGUGAUGAAUCUGUAGAAAUAUAAUUAUUUUAAUUUGUAUUGCUUGUAGUAGAUAGUAUGGUUAUGUAAUUGUUGUACAUAAGUAAAAGUUGUGCU
Long non-coding RNA from Nicotiana attenuata, 1027 nucleotides. RefSeq lists it as uncharacterized. The transcript has 4 exons. NCBI's taxonomy places the organism in Eukaryota, Viridiplantae, Streptophyta, Magnoliopsida, Solanales, Solanaceae. The record is from RefSeq and is a predicted model, not a curated record.